This 547-nucleotide ribosomal RNA is filed under the name uncultured bacterium. RNAcentral describes it as "bacterial SSU rRNA". It matches the Rfam family "Bacterial small subunit ribosomal RNA", at positions 63 to 507 of the family's 1533-position model. The record is from RNAcentral.
CGUAACGGAGUUAUUUUCUUCACUCCGAGCUUUUUGCCGGUUAGCCGGAGCGGCAAUCGGUUUUGCCCAGUAUAAAAAAGCAAAACCAAUUUAGGCUCAUAAAGUAAGACUAACACAGAGGGCAGAGAGUUGGGAGUGAAGAAAUAACUUAGUGGCGAACGGGUGAGUAACGCGUGAGUAACCUGCCCUGGAGUGGGGGACAACAGUUGGAAACGACUGCUAAUACCGCAUAAGCCCACGGCCCGGCAUCGGGCUGAGGGAAAAGGAUUUAUUCGCUUCAGGAUGGACUCGCGUCCAAUUAGCUAGUUGGUGAGGUAACGGCCCACCAAGGCGACGAUUGGUAGCCGGACUGAGAGGUUGAACGGCCACAUUGGGACUGAGACACGGCCCAGACUCCUACGGGAGGCAGCAGUGGGGGAUAUUGCACAAUGGGGGAAACCCUGAUGCAGCGACGCCGCGUGGAGGAAGAAGGUUUUCGGAUUGUAAACUCCUGUCGUUAGGGACGAUAAUGACGGUACCUAACAAGAAAGCACCGGCUAACUACGUG